RNAcentral lists this long non-coding RNA (579 nucleotides) under Nicotiana benthamiana. RNAcentral describes it as "long non-coding RNA (NBEN_LNC018884)". Lineage: Eukaryota; Viridiplantae; Streptophyta; Magnoliopsida; Solanales; Solanaceae. The record is from RNAcentral.
GGAAAUUGGCUUAGGGAAUCUUGCAUAACAGACUAGGGAAACUUCUAGUAAGCUUGGGUUUGGGACUAUUUUAAAAUUUUGAUUUCUAAACUAGGGACUGUUAAGAAAAAACCAAAGUGUAAAAAGGGUCUAAUUGCAAAAUUUGACUUCUUAAAGCUACCCUAAUACCUUGCCUAUAAAUGUACUUUUACUUGGCAUUCAAGAAAAAAAGGGACAAAAAUUCUGAAAAAUUAAAAACGACUGAAAAAUUCAUAGAAUUACAUCCAUUGAAUUUCUUCUGUGAUUCAUAAGGUUUUCAAUUUCUGAAGCAAAUUCUGAUUCAUCUGCGGUUGAAAUAAAUUGAAUUUGGGCUUUUUAAAAGUUUGAUUUGAAGUAGCUGGGUUAUUGUUCGAUUAAAAUUGGUUUUUUGGACUGCAACACAUCAUUUUUUUGGUUUGAAAUUGGUUUUGCUGGUUAUUUCUUGCUGCUGGGUUCUGCUAUAUUGCUUCUUGGCUACUGACAUCACAUUGCUUUAUUUCCUUUCCUAUUUCGGGUACAUUUUGGCCCUAUGGAUAUCACCUAAGUGUAGUUUGAAUUGUG